UACGAAGGGUGCAAGCGUUACUCGGAAUUACUGGGCGUAAAGCGUGCGUAGGUGGUUCGUUAAGUCUGAUGUGAAAGCCCCGGGCUCAACCUGGGAACUGCAAUGGAAACUGGCGGGCUUGAGUGUGGCAGAGGGGGGUGGAAUUCCGCGUGUAGCAGUGAAAUGCGUAGAGAUGCGGAGGAACACCGAUGGCGAAGGCAGCCCCCUGGGCCAACACUGACGCUCAGGCACGAAAGCGUGGGGAGCAAACAGG
This 253-nucleotide ribosomal RNA is filed under the name uncultured bacterium. RNAcentral's name for it is "partial 16S ribosomal RNA". It matches the Rfam family "Bacterial small subunit ribosomal RNA", at positions 524 to 776 of the family's 1533-position model. The record is from RNAcentral.